CUCCUCCUGCACCGUUCGCCUCCCGCAGCCGCGCUCACCGCUGCCUCGCACCGCCGGAGCCACGGGAAGCCGCCGCAGGUCGCCGGGAGCCUGCCCCUGCCGCGGGUCGCCGCCUCCCCAGCCGCGGGAGCCCGCCCCCGCCGCGGGUCGUAUCUUCCCCAGCCGCCGGAGCUCGCCACCGCCGUGGGUUGGCGCCUCCCUAGCCGCGGGAGCCGCCCCCGCCGCGGGUCGCCGCCUCCCCAGCCGCCGGAGCCGCCCCGCCGCGCCCUUCGUCGCCACUCCGCCGCAGCUUGGGGGCAAUAUCGCGGGAGGGGUCGUGCCAGCGGGCGCUCCGUGAUGGACGCGAGCAUGGGCUGUUGUCACCGCCUGCUUCUCUCCUCCGCUGCACCACGAAUGCGAGCUAGGGUCUCCGUCGUCGUUCCUCCAUGAAGCCGGGAAAGCCAACACCGCCGCAGACGAUGUGGGGCUACCCGCCAGCUCUGGUAGCUUCCAACGAGCAUGUGCUGAUGUGCCUGCUCCGCAACGGUCAUGCCCCGCGCUUGCUGACAAGAUUAUUUUGUAUGCUAAUGGUGCCGUGGCGGCUGCAUGGCGGAGGGUUGCACGCUCGACUUUGACGUCGCCGUCUUCAACAGGGAGAAGAUGUCCCUCGCCGGCCAUGACAAGUAUAUGGUGGCGGGCGGGCGGAACCUCUUCGCACUGCUCCUGGAGGCAUCAAGGGUGACAAGUCCUCUAUAAUGAUUGAAUCGGGCUCCCAGUGUUUCUUUGGAACACUGGAUUCCACUACCACGUGCAAUCAUUUAUUAGUUAUUCCAACAGGUCAUGGACUUUCCACGCGCUCAGACAGCAACAUUCUUUAUCCAACGGGUUAAGUGAUUUUAUCCAUCUGAAUAUUGUGUUAUCAUUUGUUUUAAUUCAAGUGAUAUUACGCAUGUAGCUUGCUGGGUAUAUUUUACAAUAGUUACCUUUGGAAAUUUCUUAGAGAUUAUAGAUGGGACAGAGACAACAUUGCAGAUACGUUGCAGCUGGGCACCAUGAUCAUUGCCCCCAUAUCUCCUUUUUAUGUUAUGAAGAUAUACAUGUAGGUUUCCUUUUUGGCAAUUUUUGGAGAUCAUAAAUGAUAUUAAUAUUAGAGAAAAGUAUUAUGGUUGUACCGCAAUUUGCAAGGUUUCUUGUGUCUGUGUGUACAAACAGAUAAAAUCUUAUUGAAGUGACUUUGAUUAAUUUCCUUUUCAAAGUUAUUGUUGGGCCAGCUAUUGACCUCUAUAAAACAUUUAUUUUCACUUCUCUUUUGCUCCCAGGAAAUCUGGUGCAAGCCCCACUACAGUUUUAUAUAAAGAUGUUGGAGGCACCAUCGAAAAGAGACAAGUCUGCGUGAAUCUUGUCCAAACUCCACAUCGCUGUCACUGAACAAAGUUGGAGGUGCAAUUGAAAGAGACCAGCCAAAUUCUUCUUCUGGAUAUUAAAAAGAAAACAUGGCUAGAGAUUUCAUGCCAUGUCAUUCCAUUUAUGUUCGCUUGUGUCAUUAUCAUAUCUGAUUACAUGAUUGACAUCUAUUUCAUAAUUAGCAUAUACUUCGAGACAUGAUAUGUUUUGCUUUAUUUAUGGACAACAAUAUAUGUUUACUUAUUGUGAUCAUAUAAGUGAACAAACAUAGCCAACGGUUAAAGUUCAUAUCUACUAUGUAUAUAUAUUUUUCAUUCACACAUGUCUCACUGCCUUUUAAGCACUUAGAGAGCAGAACUGGAGAUUGCUCUCAUUAAAUGUGAACAAGAUUGAUGUUCUUUUUUUUUUCGCAAAAUAGUAAAUACUGUGUUCUCUUGAUUGUUUUUUGAUUUUUCGGCUUACCUGAAUCUAAGAAGUCCGACCAUCAAUUAAUGAGAGAUUUUUGCUUCUAUCAUUCGUGGAACCAUAGAAAUGAAGUACAGACCGCGCCUCAGCCAACACUUCACAAUCUUUUUCCCCAAAGCAAACAGUAUCAUUAUUUAUGUAUUCUAAAUUAAAAUAUUUUUGCUUGUGUGCUCAAGUAAAAUUUUACUGCUUAAAGGAAAAAGAAACCAUUUUAUCACUCCUACAGUUCACAGGGAGAGAGAACAAGAAAGAAAACCUUCUACCACAAUCUUGUCUUCCUACUUACUUUUACUUACCAAGAAGAAACAACAAUAAAGGAAUCUUUUAAGAAAAUGGAUAAAAGAUCAUUUUCAGUUAGUAAUGUACAACUCCCAACUUGUCUCUUUUACUUCUUUUUCUGUGCAUGUGCACCCUAUUGAAUGGUGUUGUACUUGUACAUACUGGAAUUGCAGGCAAAACAAUGUGAUGGAUGGUCUAUAAGAUUAUCUGGUUGAAUUCAUCUCCAGGGUAAAAGAAGUCAGGCAAUGUGCAUGAUGUUUGAUUGGAAAUAAUAUUGCUUUGAAAAUGUACGAAUGCUUUCUUGGCAUCUGACAUUGCAGAAUCAAACAUUGAUGCAUACUUUGUAAAUUCUCUUGGGGAGAAAAAGUAUAAUUUGCAAGUUGCAACAUUGAUCCCAAAAUACAUGGUGUUCACACAUAUCUAUUUUAUGUAGUUUGUGAUAAACCAAAAUGUUGAGUCUUUGAAAGUACCACUAAUGACCUCUAUUUAUGUGGAGAUAAGUUAUGAAAAAAUUUAUGAAAAAAUGACAUAAAACAACUUUGAACCUAUAUGAUGUAAGGGCCUGAAAACAUUUCGGGCCUAUAUGAUGAAUGUUACCUUGGCUGUUUUUUUGUGUGUGUCAUCUUAUACCACCAUCAACAACUAUAAGUAUACGGUAGUAUGAGACAUGCACACAAGGUGUGUUUGAUUGAGAGUGGAUGUAUCUUUGAAAAGAGCAUUAGCAGAUACGUGCGUUGCACGUGCAAGUUUACUAGCUACUGCUAGGCCAAAUCAGCCGGGAACAACUCCCCUAUCCCACCCGACGAAGCAGGAACCCGACUCUGCUGGAUCGAUUCCCUGCCGCCCAUGAAGGGAACCGCCUGGCCGCAGGGGCAGGAGCAAACGGGAACGGGUGAAGAGCUCGUCCUGACUCCAGGGCCAUACUUGAGAAUUUGGGGGCCCGGUGCAAAAUCAAAGUUCAGGCCCCAGUAAUUUAAAAAAAUACGGUAAGAUGUUUUUAAGAUAUACCAUAUGCACAACAUACUUUUUCCAAGAACUAUGUGUUGCAAAAAAACUAUAUGUUGCAAAAAUGCAAAUUUAUGAAUUAAUCUCUUCUAAUAUGUAUUUUAGUUGGAACAAGCAAAUUUUCAAAUUUAUCUGAAUUAAAAUAUUCAAGCACAGUUUAUUAAAAAAAUCCUCUCUAUUCCAUUUUCAAUAAAAUGAAACCACGAAAAAAGACUGCAAUCCUUUGGUUGUUGAAGUUCUAUUGUAACAAACCAGAAAAAAAAUCCACAUCAACAUGUUUAUUUUUUGUUACUAGACAUAUGUACUAAAUUGGAGAUUAUUUAUUUUGUUUACUUUCUAAGAGAUGUUAUAUGUCCAAUUUUAAUUGUUGCAACUGCUAUGGUCCAGUGUACAUGUGUAUUAUGUGUUCAUAAAUAAUGCAAAUAUGGAAUAUAUUAAAAUAGUAGAUUUUGAAUGAGAUAUUUUCCUUCAUACAUAAUUUACCUAUAAUUAGUCUUAUAUUUUCACAGCAAAUGAAAUCACUAGUUUUAAAUACAGAUGGCAGUAUUUCGACUGUGUCGUCAAGUGCUCCAUCAAUGCUGCAAUUGGAAAGACCAAAAGAAAAUGGGAACCACUAGGGAUCAGACUACUGGUCCCUAGCGUUCCACCAGACCAGCCCGUAGCUGUUGGAUUAGAAGCACACAAGCCGUUAGAUCAUGUGCGGAAAGGACGCUAGAUUUGGGAACGUCCUCCUUUUAUUACGGUGCUUCCUGUAACCGCUCCCGUAUUAGUAGCCAGUUAAUUUGUACGAGCCUCGCUUCUCAUAAUCAAGUUGCCUAUGAUGCUUCUGCUUCCAUCGUUCAGUCAAGAAAAAAAGCAAGGAUGUCUCAUCUGAUACUAGUAAAAUUUCAUACUUUUUCAUGUCGAAAGAAAAUACUUUCUUAUUUUCGAAAGAAAUAUUCUAUGAUUUUUGGAUGCUAGUAUUUUUUGUAACUAGAUGAUGCCCCGCACGUUGUUGCGGGAAUGUUUGCAAUAUUUCAAUGAGAUUUUGAUUAUAUGAAACAUGAAUUCUUGAAACAAUAGUUUCUGAAAGUAUAUAAGAAUUAAAUAUAAAUAGCAUAAUAAAAUGGAAUUUUACAUGCAUGCAUGUUGCAGUGGAUUUUUAAUAUGCAUAGUUGCAUGUUGAGGUGGACUUUUUCUUAUGCAUGUUGAAUGAUGAGGUGGCAUACUUGCAUGUUGAGAGAAAUAUCUUACUGGGGGCUAGCUAUUUAGAUAUAGAAGAUUGCUCUGAUGUAAUGAAAACUUGUAACCAGUGUGACUUUAUUUUUGUUUCCAACACACCAAAAAUUUGCUUCCACUAACGACACAACUUCUUCUAAUGCAAUCUAGCAAAAAAUUGUGUCAAGGAACCUUGCUUCCAUGUAACAAAAAUUUGCUUCCGAGGCUUUUUUAACAUGGAAAAAAAUUUGAGUCCCAUAUUUUUUUAUUAUGUUUCCAACUCAAGAAAAGUUUGCUUCCAUCCAUUACAAAAGUGUUUCCAUCAUAAUACUGAUUUGCUUAUAACCAAACAUAUAUAAGUUAGUUUUUGUACUUCGUCUGUUCAUACAACAUGUUUCAGACGUGCCACAACUUCUUGCUUCUUUCAAGUUGCCGAUAAUACAAUGCUUCCUAAGUUCAUAUUGAUAUCAAAUAAACACUGUUGAUUGUUUGUUCUAACAAAACAAUGCUUCCAACAGAAAUAGUAUUUGCUUCCUGUGAUAUCAGCAUUUGCUUCUGUAUACAAAGAAUGGUCAAGGGGUUUCCUUCAUGUCGCCACACUGCCACCAUGGUCCACCUUGAUGGCGACGGCACAUGCGCAAGGGAUACUCCAGACGGACCGCGAUAAAACAUAGGGGCUGUCGUGUAGGUGGCUGCGACGUGGAAAUGGCGGCCACGAGCAGCGAAGAUGACAUUGAGGAGGCACAUGCAGUAUGGGCUCCCCACGGAGUGCUCUUUGCCGCUGGUGAAGGGUACCAUGGAUGGUCGUCGAUGGGGCACCAUGAUGAGGAAGAUGGACUGUGGUUGCAGAGAAAGGCCGUGGAGACCUUGCGCGCC
This 5205-nucleotide ribosomal RNA is filed under the name Triticum aestivum (bread wheat). RNAcentral describes it as "partial small subunit ribosomal RNA". Lineage: Eukaryota; Viridiplantae; Streptophyta; Magnoliopsida; Poales; Poaceae. The record is from RNAcentral.